AAGCUUCGUCUUAUUUAAAAUUUUUUUACAAUUAAUAUUUUUGUUUUUAUUAGAUGAUAAAUCAUGAAUAAUACUUUAUGUGUGACUUAUUUUUAAUUUCUUAAAAAGUUUUCAAAUAAGACGGAGUUU
RNAcentral lists this microRNA precursor (129 nucleotides) under Oryza brachyantha (malo sina). RNAcentral's name for it is "MIR812 microRNA precursor family". It matches the Rfam family "MIR812 microRNA precursor family", at positions 37 to 169 of the family's 205-position model. Lineage: Eukaryota; Viridiplantae; Streptophyta; Magnoliopsida; Poales; Poaceae. The record is from Rfam by way of RNAcentral.